This 1440-nucleotide ribosomal RNA is filed under the name uncultured organism. RNAcentral's name for it is "SSU rRNA". It matches the Rfam family "Bacterial small subunit ribosomal RNA". The record is from RNAcentral.
GCUACAGGCUUAACACAUGCAAGUCGAGGGGCAUCAGGAAGAAAGCUUGCUUUCUUUGCUGGCGACCGGCGCACGGGUGAGUAACACGUAUCCAACCUGCCCUUUACUCGGGGAUAGCCUUUCGAAAGAAAGAUUAAUACCCGAUAGCAUAAUGAUUCCGCAUGGUUUCAUUAUUAAAGGAUUCCGGUAGAGGAUGGGGAUGCGUUCCAUUAGGUUGUUGGUGAGGUAACGGCUCACCAAGCCUUCGAUGGAUAGGGGUUCUGAGAGGAAGGUCCCCCACAUUGGAACUGAGACACGGUCCAAACUCCUACGGGAGGCAGCAGUGAGGAAUAUUGGUCAAUGGGCGCUAGCCUGAACCAGCCAAGUAGCGUGAAGGAUGAAGGCUCUAUGGGUCGUAAACUUCUUUUAUAUAAGAAUAAAGUGCAGUAUGUAUACUGUUUUGUAUGUAUUAUAUGAAUAAGGAUCGGCUAACUCCGUGCCAGCAGCCGCGGUAAUACGGAGGAUCCGAGCGUUAUCCGGAUUUAUUGGGUUUAAAGGGAGCGUAGGUGGACUGGUAAGUCAGUUGUGAAAGUUUGCGGCUCAACCGUAAAAUUGCAGUUGAUACUGUCAGUCUUGAGUACAGUAGAGGUGGGCGGAAUUCGUGGUGUAGCGGUGAAAUGCUUAGAUAUCACGAAGAACUCCGAUUGCGAAGGCAGCUCACUGGACUGCAACUGACACUGAUGCUCGAAAGUGUGGGUAUCAAACAGGAUUAGAUACCCUGGUAGUCCACACAGUAAACGAUGAAUACUCGCUGUUUGCGAUAUACAGUAAGCGGCCAAGCGAAAGCAUUAAGUAUUCCACCUGGGGAGUACGCCGGCAACGGUGAAACUCAAAGGAAUUGACGGGGGCCCGCACAAGCGGAGGAACAUGUGGUUUAAUUCGAUGAUACGCGAGGAACCUUACCCGGGCUUAAAUUGCAGUGGAAUGAUGUGGAAACAUGUCAGUGAGCAAUCACCGCUGUGAAGGUGCUGCAUGGUUGUCGUCAGCUCGUGCCGUGAGGUGUCGGCUUAAGUGCCAUAACGAGCGCAACCCUUAUCUUUAGUUACUAACAGGUUAUGCUGAGGACUCUAGAGAGACUGCCGUCGUAAGAUGUGAGGAAGGUGGGGAUGACGUCAAAUCAGCACGGCCCUUACGUCCGGGGCUACACACGUGUUACAAUGGGGGGUACAGAAGGCAGCUAGCGGGUGACCGUAUGCUAAUCCCAAAAUCCUCUCUCAGUUCGGAUCGAAGUCUGCAACCCGACUUCGUGAAGCUGGAUUCGCUAGUAAUCGCGCAUCAGCCACGGCGCGGUGAAUACGUUCCCGGGCCUUGUACACACCGCCCGUCAAGCCAUGGGAGCCGGGGGUACCUGAAGUACGUAACCGCAAGGAUCGUCCUAGGGUAAAACUGGUGACUGGGGCU